RNAcentral lists this ribosomal RNA (429 nucleotides) under bacterium. RNAcentral's name for it is "partial 16S ribosomal RNA". It matches the Rfam family "Bacterial small subunit ribosomal RNA", at positions 355 to 776 of the family's 1533-position model. The record is from RNAcentral.
UAGGGAAUCUUCGGCAAUGGGGGCAACCCUGACCGAGCAACGCCGCGUGAGUGAAGAAGGUUUUCGGAUCGUAAAGCUCUGUUGUAAGAGAAGAACGUGUGUGAGAGUGGAAAGUUCACACAGUGACGGUAACUUACCAGAAAGGGACGGCUAACUACGUGCCAGCAGCCGCGGUAAUACGUAGGUCCCGAGCGUUGUCCGGAUGUAUUGGGCGUAAAGCGAGCGCAGGCGGUUUAAUAAGUCUGAAGUUAAAGGCAGUGGCUUAACCAUUGUUCGCUUUGGAAACUGUUAAACUUGAGUGCAGAAGGCGGGAGUGGAAUUCCAUGUGUAGCGGUGAAAUGCGUAGAUAUAUGGAGGAACACCGGUGGCGAAAGCGGCUCUCUGGUCUGUAACUGACGCUGAAGCUCGAAAGCGUGGGGAGCAAACAGG